This 249-nucleotide ribosomal RNA is filed under the name uncultured bacterium. RNAcentral's name for it is "partial 16S ribosomal RNA". It matches the Rfam family "Bacterial small subunit ribosomal RNA", at positions 15 to 265 of the family's 1533-position model. The record is from RNAcentral.
GAUCAUGGCUCAGGAUGAACGCUGGCGGCGUGCCUAACACAUUCAAGUCGAACGGUGAAGGGACUUCGGUCCCGGAUCAGUGGCGGACGGGUGAGUAACGCGUGAGCAACCUGCCUUUGCUUGGGGGAUAACGUUUGGAAACGAACGCUAAUACCGCAUAAAACAGCAUUCCGGCAUCGGAAAACUGUCAAAGAUUUAUUGAGCAAAGAUGGGCUCGCGUCCGAUUAGAUAGUUGGUGAGGUAACGGCU